This 30-nucleotide non-coding RNA is filed under the name Rattus norvegicus (Norway rat). Lineage: Eukaryota; Metazoa; Chordata; Mammalia; Rodentia; Muridae. The record is from RNAcentral.
UUUGAAGAGGCCUUACAUAAUGUGGAUAAC